RNAcentral lists this ribosomal RNA (440 nucleotides) under uncultured bacterium. Its description in RNAcentral is "bacterial SSU rRNA". It matches the Rfam family "Bacterial small subunit ribosomal RNA", at positions 338 to 771 of the family's 1533-position model. The record is from RNAcentral.
CCUACGGGAGGCAGCAGUGGGGAAUUGUUCGCAAUGGGCGCAAGCCUGACGACGCAACGCCGCGUGGAGGAUGAAGGUCUUCGGAUUGUAAACUCCUGUUGCCCGGGACGAAUGGCUCCAACCUAAUACGUUGGAGUGUGACGGUACCGGGUGAGGAAGCCCCGGCUAACUCUGUGCCAGCAGCCGCGGUAAUACAGAGGGGGCAAGCGUUGUUCGGAAUUACUGGGCGUAAAGGGCGCGUAGGCGGCCUGCUAAGUCGAACGUGAAAUCCCUGGGCUCAACCCAGGAACUGCGUCCGAUACUGGUUGGCUUGAAUCCGGGAGAGGGAUGUGGAAUUCCAGGUGUAGCGGUGAAAUGCGUAGAUAUCUGGAGGAACACCGGUGGCGAAGGCGACAUCCUGGACCGGCAUUGACGCUGAGGCGCGAAAGCCAGGGGAGCAA